This is a long non-coding RNA of Cornus florida, 4571 nucleotides long. RefSeq lists it as uncharacterized. The record is from RefSeq and is a predicted model, not a curated record. The transcript has 2 exons. NCBI's taxonomy places the organism in Eukaryota, Viridiplantae, Streptophyta, Magnoliopsida, Cornales, Cornaceae.
GAUGAUAACCCUAUUUUCCUCUAUAAAUAUAUAGGGCACGAAACAGACCCACGGCAAAUUGCGCCUCCCACCCCUUUCGUUUUCUUGGGCUUCCUGUUGUGCCUUCUUCCAUUGUCUCUCACUGAUGUAAUUUUGAGCCUACUCAGGUACGAAAGCAUGCCUGAGUCUGUUCAUGUUGACUCGGAUUUUGUAUUAUUAUUAAAUUUUCUUUUUACUGUUAUCGUCUAAGUUAUAUUUGGAAGAUAGAUCGCAGUGACGACUCAUAAAAUUCAAGCUCAACAGACCGGAAUGCAGGUUUCUCUCUCCAGAGAAGUUUGCGUGUCGAUUAUCCCGCUGAACUGAGCGAUCUUAUCUCUAUAUAUCUAUAUGUCUGGUUACGAUGAGGUUAAAAAAGCUCCCUCUUCCGAUAGUCCAAGUUGAGGACAGACCGCUGGCAGAAUCGAACCUAUGACUUUAUAAUGCCACUACUGAGUAAUCUCAUUUCCCUAUUUUCACAUCUCUUUAUUUUUCUGUUUUUAACUCUAUUAUUAUUAUUUUUGCACUGAAGUAUAUUAUUAGUGAAGUUGUAUUUUUUUUCACUGAAGUAUAUUAGUAAAGUUGAAUUAUUUAUUUAUUUAUUUGUUAUUUUUAUGUUUGUGAUGAGGAUGAAUCAUUAGUAAAUAAUCCAACACUUUUUUCAAGUGAUGCUCAAAACUUUGCUCUUGAAUCUUCGGGCUUAUGAUACGAUUUUCAUGCAUUUCUAGGUUGUUUGUUCUAUUGUGGACUAGUCUGUGCAAUAAUUUUGUUUAGAGCUUAGUUUUAAAGCUGAGUUUUGGCACGGAUCGCCACCCAUGCUUUGUUCAAGCUCUGUUCAAUGAAUCUUUUUAAUAAGUUUGCUUACCAAGAUUACUUAUCAAUCACAUUAGCAUAAUUUGUAACAUAUAAAAUAAGAUAAUCCUUGAAAUCAAUUUUUGAAACUUCCAAAAGAAAAAGAAAAAGAAACUGCUAACUAAUAAUAUUUAUAAUUUAAAUUCAAGUAUAAGUCUAGAUGUGUGUAAUCAUCUUGUAGGAAAUAUUUUACUUUCUAACAAUUUUUUACCAUAAAUGAAUUUAAUGGACAAUUUUUUUUUCCUCUUAAUUCUUGAUGUUUAAAUUUUUUGUAAAUUGUGGAUGAUGACCAAGGAUGAAGUAAUGGAUUCUCAUUUUGUUUGAUCUACAAUGCCAUGCUUUUGAAUUGAUUAUUGUUGUUGGUGUUUUGAUUGUUUUAUUUAGAAAUCAUCAAAUGAUGAAGUAUUAAAAUAUCUUAGGACACCAUUGGACACGGCCUUUUGAGGUUGUGGAUGAGAAUGAUUGUAUUCUGAUGAUGAUUACAACGAGAUCGAUUUCUAAUAGCUUUGUGAAAUUUGACUUGAACUCGUUGCAUUCAAAAACAUGGUGCUUGUUAGAAUUUAUUUAUUCAUUACAAUGUUUGAUAAGUGGGCAUGUUAGGAGUUUAAUGGGCUUGUUAGGAUUUAUUUAUUCAUUACAAUGUUUUGAUAAGCGGGCAUGUUCGGAAUUUUUAUAGAACAUAAUUGAUAUAGUAUUUGGUUUUCAGAAAGAUUUUAAAGAUAUGUUUUUAUUUAUAAUGUCUUAUGUGGCAUAACAUUUUUGUUAAUAUUAACCAUCAUAAUGCUCUUGCUCAUGUUGAUUGAGAUGUUACCGGUAACACAUUUUAUCUAUAUUAAAGGUGAAAUAUGGUUUGCAAUGAUUAAAUAUUUGUAUAUUUUUUCCACGAGAGAUCUAUUUCAAUUUUAAUUUUUAUUAGUUUAUUUCAAUUUUAAUUUUUGUUAGUCUAUUGAAAACAUGCGUGAGCCAGUUUAUGUAACUUGGAUUUUGAAUUAUUAUUAUAUUUUCUUAUUAUGGUUAUCAUCUAAGUUGUAAUUUGUUAGAUAGAUCGUGACGACUCAUAAAAUUCAAGCUCAACUGACCGGAAUGCAGGUUUCUCUCUCUAGAGAAGUUUGCGUGUCGACUACCCCACUGAACUGAGCGAUCUUCUACCUAUAUCUAUAUAUUCAUUUGUUCAUUUAUUUUAUUUUAAUUUGUUAUAUUUAUUGUAUUUUCUUCAAAAAAAAUGUUUUGGUGGGAAAUGAAGUUGCGAUGAGGACAAAAAAGCUCCCUCUUCCGAUAGUCCAAGUUGAGGACAGACUGCCGGCAGAAUCGAACCUAUGACUUUAUUAUGCCACUUCUGAGUAAUCUCAUUUCCAAGUUUUCACAUCUAUUUCUUUUCUGCUCGACUCUUCCUCUCUAUAUAUUAUUUUAAUUGUGAUAAUUUUUUUCAUGGUAUCAUUUAUAUAUUUUUUGUUAAUUUUAUGAUUAUCUUUGGAUGAGAAUGAAGCAGUAGUAAAAAAUCCGACACUUCGAUCUGAGAAUUUACAUUUUUGAAGUGAAUCUCAAAACAUUGCUCCUGAAUAAUCAUAAUGAUGACUUUAUGAUUAUGUUGAUGAUUUAAUGUAUUCCUAGGUCUUAGUUACUAGAUCAAUGUUAUUUGGACCUAGUUCCCUAGUCAAUGUUUGGUCGGACUGGUUUAUGGGUCCCAUCCAAUUGUGGAUACAUCCAAUUGUUGGGUCCCAUCCAUGGUAUUGAGGGAUGAUACCUCAUUCUUUUAUCAAUGUUGGUGUGAAAAAUAGGUUUAAAAUUUCUAAUAAGGUAUACUUUCAGUUUUUUCAAGUUGUAUGAGGUUUUUAUUGUUUUGUUGGCUAGUCUUCAAAUGAACGAAGCUUAGACGAGGUUUAAACUGUCUAGACUGGUGUUUGUUUGUGGGCUAAGCCUUGAGAUUGUGAAGAGCUCAGUUUCAUAAACUUGGGUCAGUGCACUUAUUAUCACAAUUUUGAAAAGAUUGGAUUAGGUUUGGCUUGAUUUUGAAUUUUUCUUGCAUUUGUACUCUAUUCAAGCUUGGUCUGAGCUUAUAGCUUGUAUUCGUAAAGCUAUCUAUGAAUGAAUAUUCAAUCAGUUUACUUACCUAGCUUUACUUGUCAAUUUCAUGGUAACAAUAGUUUUAAAGAAAUAUUUUCUUAACCAUUUUAGGAUGUCAAUCUAAAGAUAUUGGCAGCUUCAGUUUAGGUUGUGUAUCACAAUCUUUGUCUAAUAUUUUCAACUUCAAAACAAUAUUCUUGUAUUGAACUUGUAUGGAAUAUUUUCCUUUGAACAAUUUUAGCUAUAAUGAAGAACAUUAGGUGGACAAUUUUAGUUCAUUUUAUUCCUUGUUCCAACUUUGUAAAAUUGUGUAUAAUUACCAAUAAUGUAAUGGGUAGUCAUUUUGUUUGAUGUCCGAUGCUUUUGAUUUGAUUAUUGUUGAAGGUGUUUUGGUUCUCUGUUUGUUGUUCUUUUAUUUUUCUUUACUCUAUUUAUGUGUGUUUAUGUUUAAGUAAGAAGUCAUCAAAUGAUGAAGUAUUAGUAAAUCUUAGGACACAUUGGACACAACUUUUUGAGGUUGUGGAUGAGAAUGUUUCCAUUCGAUGAUGAUGAUGAUUAUGAGAUCGUUUUAUGUUUUUAGUGGCUUUUUAGAAGUGUCCAUGUAACAUGAACUCAUGCAUGCAAGAACAUCAAAAUGCUUAAUGGGCAUGUUAGGAUUUUUAAUUAUUGAUUGAUAAGUGAGCAUGUUAGGAAUUUUUAUGGAACACAAUUGAUAUUUUAUUUUACUUAUCAAAAAAUAUAAUUUUUUUGGUGUUUCUAGAACGAAUUUUAAUAUGUUUUUACAAGGCAUGCCUUGUGUUGCAGAAAAUUUUGUGGCUAUUAACUACUUAUCAUCUUUUUGUUCAUGUUGAUUGAGAUGGAACCAUUUUUAAUAACACUAUUUUAUAUGAGUGAAAUUUGGGUUGUAAUUAUUAAAUUAUUUGUAUUUAUUGUCCACAAGUGAAAAUUAUUUCAAUUUUCUUACUUUACUUUGUUGUUAGUUCUUUUUGCACUUUUACUUGCCACAUUGUUGUCGUUACUUUUUAUCUUAUAAUAUUUAUCUUAAUAAUUAGCAUGUGGUUCCCCAGUGGACUAUGUUAUAUGGUGGAGUUGUGUUAGUUGGCUUUUGCCAACUCGGUUUUUAUUUUGGAAGUUGUAAAGAAGUUGGUGGUAAAUUAUAUUUUUACUCUGAGGUGUGUAUCAGUUAGAUGUUCAGAAUGCCUUCUUGCAUGGGGAUUUGCAGGAAGAGGUUGAUAUGGUACAGCCAACUGGUUAUCUUGCUCCUGGCAAGUCAGAUUAGCUGCCUUCUUGCAUGGGGAUUUGCAGGAAGAGGUUGAUAUGGCACAGCCACCCGGUUAUCUUCCUCCUUGCAAGUCAGAUUAGCUUUGUCUGUUUGAAGAAGUCUAUUUAUGGUCUGAAGCAACGUGUGCAUGGUUUGACAAGUUUAGUUCUCUUUUGCUUCAGUAUGGUUUCUCAUUAGCCAUUCUUCUUCUGGGAUGAUUAUUCUUGUUGUCUAUGUUGACUAUUAUCAUUAUCAGUGGUAGUGUCUGGUAUUAUGGCUCGCUCAUUUGCAACAUAAAUGUUGGUACUCUUUCAAUUCUGUUAGGGUUUGAUUCAGUAUUUUAUCGGUAUUGAGAUUGCCCGUUCUGGGGAUGGUAUUA